This 13367-nucleotide long non-coding RNA is filed under the name Vitis vinifera (wine grape). RNAcentral's name for it is "long non-coding RNA (VVIN_LNC004863)". The record is from RNAcentral. Lineage: Eukaryota; Viridiplantae; Streptophyta; Magnoliopsida; Vitales; Vitaceae.
GUGGAUAAAAGGAAAGUUUACAAGUGAGAAUAGUGGCAUUUUUCUGACAGAUUUCACACCGUUGCUUGUUUUGCAGUUGACUGUGAUUGAAGGUCGAUUAAUCAUCACUGGGCACUCGAUGGGAGGAUCCGUUGCUUCUCUCUUCACCUUAUGCCUGCUAGAAGUCAUUAAUAUAUCAAAACCCAAAUGCCGCCCCAUUUGCAUCACCUUUGGUUCACCCCUCAUAGGCGACUUUGGCCUCCAACACUCCAAUUGGAAUUCUUUCUUCUUGCAUGUAGUGUCCAACCAAGAUCUAGUCCCCGGACUCUUCCUCCCAUCCGGCAGAUCUCCUCCCACAUCCUCCCAUUCACAAACUACUGGUUACAAGCCCUUUGGGACAUAUCUCUUGUGCUCUGAACUUGGUUGUGCUUGUUUUGACAACCCUGAUUUAAUUUUGGAAUUGCUGAAAGUCAUAUCAUCAGAGGUUGCCGGAGGAUUGCGGGAUGUUGAUUACAGGAAGAUUUUAAUAAACCUCAAGGAGAGGGCAAUCUUCAAGGGACUUCAGCAGGUGGGUGAAAGGUUUGCAGAUCCCUUGUCAGCUGGGAUCGUCAUGGACCUUGAGAUAAUUGGAUUUGAUCAAACAAAGGUAAACAGCUUUCUCCCAAUUAAUGAUGUAGUAUGGUUUACACUCAACUUCACCAAAACCUGCAACAACUGCCCUAUUUAGAUUUGCCUUCCUGUUCUUUGGGUUCUUCUAUAACUUCUCAUUUUUUAAAUUCAUGGCAGCUGUUGCGGCACAACAUUGAUAUCAACACUGUGAUAAGGAUACUGGGAGUGGAAGCCAGAAUCCUAGCCCACAAAAAUAAAGCUUCUGAUGCCAAGAAACUGAAUGACAUAAAAAUACACAUGGCCCAGCUAGAAUGGUAUAAGAAGAAAUCAAAAGAUCUGAACAAGGGUUACUACGACUGCUUCAAAAACCAGGGGUCAAAAAGGGACAUUAAAAUUGAACAGUAUAGGGGACACCUCACAAUAUACUGGAAAGACAUGGUUGCACAAGUACAGAGGAAGCCCCAGAAGGAAGGAGCAUCAUUUCGAACCAGUUGGCUCUAUCCAGGGACAACUUAUAGAAGAAUGGUUGAACCACUGGACAUUGCUGCCUUCUACAGAGAGGGUAGAACAGACUACAUAAACAAUGGAAGAUCUCCUCAUUACAAGCUGUUGCAGCAAUGGUAUGAGGAAGAUGUGAAGCCCCCAUCCAGAGAUAAGCUCGAUUCCAAGAAACUAAAGGUGUCUGGUAUCCUAACUGAGGAUUCUUUGUUUUGGGCACAUGUGGAGGAGGCUCUCUUGUCAUGCGAAUCGCUCAAGAGUGCAAACUCUACUCUUGAGCAGAGAAAAUCAUCAUGGGAUAAUCUGGUUAAGUUUGGGGAGUAUGUAAUGGAACAGAUUGGAAACUAUGCAGUGUCCCCUGAGAUUUUCUUGGGGGAAAGCAGCUUCAUGAAAUGGUGGGGAGUGUAUGAGGACUACAUAGAUGCUUCCAAUAAUUCCUAUGGGUCACCAUUGAUCAGCUUUAUGAAGAACCGUAGUUAUAGACUGUAUGGUUAGAGGGCAAUCCAGUUUGUGUAUUGUGUUUAUUGUAUUGUGAGCAUUCAAUAGAUAAAACUAGAAAGAGCGUGACCUUUUUAUGACAACUUUAGAAACCAGGGGUUAAAAGAGACAUUACAAACUGAAGUUUUUGAGAGGAAACCUCAAGAGUAUACUGGGAAGCCAUGGUGGAACAAGUAGAGAGGAAGCCUCAGAAGGAAGGAGCAAUGGUUGAACCACUUGACAUUGUUGCCUACUACAGGGAGGGUGUAAGAAACAACAUAACCGAGGGAAGAUCUGAACGUUAAACGUUGUCCAAUUAUUAUAAAUGUCUUAUACAUUACGUGUGAAAAUACCAAAAAAAAUUAUAUUCAACAUUUAUGUUUGUAUACAAGCAAUAUUUUGGAUAGUUUGAUAUAAAAAACAAAUGAAGAAAAUGAAGAAAAACAUACAAAUAUAUUUACAAUGGACAAACUUAUACAAUUAGUAUAAAUGUCUUGUAUAUUUAGUACAAAUGUCUCGUACUUUGUAAAAAUAUAAAAAUAUAGUAUUUGACUUUUAUAUAUGUGUGAAAAUGUAAAAAGAAAAAGAAAAAUAGUUAGAGCAUUUGGUACCGUGAGUGAUGACUUCACCUAAAGAAAGGUUAAUGAAUAUUAUGGUCUCGAUGGAAGAGCGACUCCGGUAAAAUAUAUGGAUUAAAUUGAUGCUUUUCUUUUGACGAUGAAGUAGUUGAGUUAUGAAUACGAGGUUUUGCUAACAGCAUUGAAGGCAAGGAUUCCCUAAUAUACUCCAAUUCAUAUUCAAUUUGUAGACCUUCAACUAACUACUCUUGCUAACGAGCAUAUCCAAGUCAAUACAUAAGAUUAAUUAAGAUUAAGUAUUACGUAUGAUAAUUGAAACCCUAUUUAAAUAAAUAAUGACACAUAUAUAAAAAAUAUAUAUAUUUUUAAAAAAAUAAAUAACAAUUUAGAGAAUUUCAUAACUUAGCAUCAAACCUAUUGUAAGAAAGAGUAUUAUACAAUGUAGGGUUUAGGAUCCAAGUCAACCUAAGAUCAAAUUUAAGUUUUAAGAUCAAUUCACAUUCAAAACUAAGGUUUUAAGUUUCAAAAAUAUAUUUCUUAAACCAAUUAAAUGGAAAAAAGAAAAUUACAAAGAAAAUUUCUCCCUCAUCAGUUUCUUUUAUCUUGAAAACUAAAGGAAAUAUAUAUCAAUAUUUGAGAUGGAAAUUCAUAAUCUUAGGUGGUGUUUGUUUUUUUGGCUUUUUGCUGAAAACUAUUUAGUUUUAGAAUUUAGGUUUUUUUUUUUUUUUACUUUUUCAUGACUUAUAAUAAACUUUUUACUAAAUAGAAAAAACCAAAAUAUGUGGUUUUUUCUAAAUAGAAAAAAUAACACAAUGGUUUUUUUUACUUUUUAAUACUUAAUAGAAAUAAAAUACUACAAAAACAAACAUCUUAAUAUUUAAUACUAUUAAGUAUUAAGGUUCUAUUUAGAAUUAAGUAAAAAAACAAACACCACCUUAGAAACACAAAGAACAAAGAGAGUAUGAAGAGACCAUACCAUGAGAGAUUUUCCGAAAGGUUGGUAAACCAUGGUAAUCACCUUUGAGUCUUGCUGAGAAAAACAAACCUUAUUUAUUUUUAUUUUUUUAUCAUUUUUUCUCUUGUGUGGUGUACAUUUAAGAAAAACAAAUCUCAAAAAAAAAAAAAAACACAAACCAAAUAAUGCCAGAAUUUGGGUUGAGAAACACCCAAAAGAUAGUGGCCCAAUACAUGUGCCUAAGAAAAUCUUCAUGAGCCGAUAAACAUAGUCACAAAACUAGUAACAGCCUUGUAGCCAUAGUUGGUGUAGUAUGAGCAAGUGGGGUAUGAAGUAGGUAGGUGAGUAUUGCAAUGAAAUUUCCAGCACUGCUUCCUGAAUUAAGAAAUCACAUACCCAAGUCUUAGUCGUCGUCGUCGUCGUACCGUGUGAGAACCGGGAAGAAUCUUUGCUCGUAGACUGGCUUUUGUAGUCUUUCUUUAACAAUUACAAGUUAUCUGAAUUCCCUUCAUCCUCCUAUAUAAUAUUGUUUUGGUCUUGUUCUUGUUGCAUUGUGGCUAGGCAUCUCCAUGGAAGGAAGGAGGAUGAAUCAAGUUCCUUUGUAUGAAUCAAUUUCUCUGCUCUUUUUUUUUUUCAAUCCUUGAAUCGAAUCAUUGCUUAGUUCUUGCUUUAAUUUCUCCAUUUUCUGUUGGGUCUUUGAUUGCAGGUUUAGCUCUGCAAGAGAACUGGGAAAUUUAAUUGUGACCUCCAAUCUAAUCGACUCUGCUUUGACUAAAAUUCUUGAGCUUCAAAGAGACCAAACAGCCUUGCUUUCCCCCGUUCAAUACAGAGUUUUUUUAUCCAUCUCCCAACUGCACAAUUGUAGCUUUUGUCUCUUCACCUGACUGCACUCAAAACCCUCUUCCUGGACAAGGAGAUUUAGUUCCCUCUCCUCUCUUUGACUUCCUCUGCACCGAAGAAUACAAGUCCGUCUCCAUUAACAGAGCUGCAUUAACCCUCUUUACCUCUCUCCACGAUCAUCUCUCUGGACUAAAAACUCAGGUCAAAAUAUGAUAGUUGUUUUUAUUUUCGUUUCCUUUUUGUUAACAAUUGUGAGACAUGAAACAGCUUGACCAUGAGAUCUCUCUCAUAGAGUCAAACUACCUGAAGAAGAAGAAGACGUUACACAUAUCCAUCUGCGUUGCAUCAUCGCAUUACCCAUUGAUCGGUUGUGAUUCAACUCUUAAUAGGAAGACAGUAGAACUGGUGUUGGUAUCUGUUUUUAGAUCAGCUUAUAUGUAUCUUGUUGCUAAAAAGGGAAUGUUUAGAAGUGAGAUUAAUGGGAUUAUUCUGACAUGGAUUUCAUAUGGUUACCUGUUUUGCAGUUGACUGUGAUUGAAGGUCAAUUAAUCAUCACUGGGCACUCCCUGGGAGGAGCCGUUGCUUCUCUCUUCACCUUAUGCCUGCUAGAUGAAAAUUUAUUAAAACCCAAAUGCCGCCCCUUUUGUAUCACCUUUGGUUCACCCCUCGUCGGCGGCUUUGGCCUCCAACACUCCAUAUGGAAUUCUUUCUUCCUGCAUGUAGUGUCUAACCAAGACCCAGUCCCCGGUCUCUUCCUCCCAUCUGGCAGAGGCAGAUCUACGCCCACAUCCUCCCAUUCACAAACUACCGGUUACAAGCCCUUUGGGACAUAUCUCUUGUGCUCUGAACUUGGUUGUGCUUGUUUUGACAACCCUGAUUUAAUUUUGGAAUUGCUGAAAGUCAUAUCAUCAGAGGUUGCCGGAGGAUUGCAGGAUGUUGAUUAUGGGGAGAUUUUAAGAAACCUCAAGGAGAGGGCAAUCUGCAAGGGACUUCCGCAGGUGGGUGAAAGGUUUGCAAAUCCAUUUUCAGCUGGGAUCAUCAUGGAACUUGAGACAAUUGGAUUUAAUCAAACAAAGGUAAACAGCUUUCUCCCAUCUAAUGAUGUUAUGGAACAUGGUUUACACCUCAUUAAAUACUGCAACAACUGCCCUAUUUAGAUUUACCUUCUUGUUCUUUGGGAUUUUCCAUAACUAGACUCAUUUUUUAAUUUCAUGGCAGCUGCUGCAGCAUAACAUUGAUAUCGAGACUGUGAUAAGCGCAAUGGAAGCGGAAGCAAGAAACCUAACCCAGAAAAAUAAAGCUUCCGAUGCCAAGAAACUGAAUGAAAUAAAAAUAGACAUGACCCGGCUAGAAUUGUAUAAGAAGAAUUCGAACAUGGGUUACUACGAUUGCUUCAAAAACCAGGGGUCUAAAAGGGACAUCCACGUUGAACAGUUUAGGGUAAACCUCACAGGGUACUGGGAAGGCAUGGUUGCACAAAUACAGAGGAAGCCUCAUAAGGAAGGAGCAACAUUUCGAACCCGUUGGCUCUAUGCAGGGACGGUUUAUAGAAGAAUGGUUGAACCACUGGACAUUGCUGCCUUCUACAGAGAGGGUAGAAAAGACUACAUGAAUAAAAGAUCUGCACAUUACAAGCUGUUGCAGGAAUGGUAUGAGGAAGAUGUGAAACCCCCCUCUAGAGAUAAGCUUGAUUCCAAGAAGCAAAAGGUGUCCAGUAUCCUAACUGAGGAUUCUUGCUUUUGGGCACAUGUGGAGGAGGCUAUCUUGUCAUGCGAAUUGCUCAAGAGUGAAAACUGUAAUCUUGAGGAGGGAAAAUCAUCAUGGGAUAAUCUGGUUAAGUUCGAGGAGUAUGUAAUGGAACAGAUUGACAACUAUGCAGUGUCCCCUGAGAUUUUCUUGGAGAAAAGCAGCUUCAUGAAAUGGAGGGGACUGUAUGAGGGCUACAUAGAUACUCGCAGUAAUUCCCAUAGCUCGCCAUUGAUCAGCUUUAUGAAGAAUCGUAGUUAUAGACAAUAUGGAUAGAGGGGUAAUCCAGUUUGUGUGUUGUGUGUAUUGUUUUGUGAGCAUUCAAUGGAUAGAACUAGAAAGAGUGUGACCUUUUCCUUUUUUUUUUCAGUUGCUGCCCAUAUUCUCAGCACUAUUUUCUUCCUUCUUUUCCUCAGUUUUUUUGUUAAGAAAUGAAUAUUAUGAUGUUGCCGGGAUGCACUUUCAUUUUUGUUCCAUUACAUUGUGUUUUAUUCAUAUCCUAAACAAAUAAAUGUAAACAAGAAAAUCAAAUGAGACUUCAAAGAGUCUGUUCCUUUUAAAGCAAGGGAAAAAAAGGACAUGUUUGUUUACUUCCACAGCUGGGUAGAUUCAACUCCACCAAAAUUGGCAACAACUUCCCAUUGAAAAAUUCCUUUUAAGCUUGAAUGACAUAAAACUAGAUAUGUUCCAGCUAGAAUGGUACAAGAAAGAAAUCAAAAGAUGAGCACAAUGGGUUAUUAUGACAGCUUUAGAAACCUGGGGUGUAAAAGAGACAUUAAAAUGGAACCGAGGGGAAGACAUUGUAGAACAAGUAAAGAGGAAGCCUCACCAGGAAGGGCAGCUUUGCAAACCCUCUGGCUCUGUACAGGAACGAAUUAUAGAAAGAUGGUUGAACCACUUGACAUUGCUGCCUACCACAGAGAGGGUGGAAGAAACUACAUAACCAAUGGAGGAUGUAAACAUUACACGCUAUUAGAGCAAUGAUGCAAUGAAGAGAAGGGGACUUUGUCUUCCAAUAAUUUAAGAAAAUAAAACCAAAUAAUGCCAGAAUUUGGGUUGAGAAACACCCAAAAGAUAGUGGCCCAAUAUGAAGUAGUCACAAAACUAGUAACAGCCUUGUGGCCAUAGUUGGUGUAGUAUGAGCAAGUGGGGUAUGAAGUAGGUAGGUGAGUAUUGCAAUGAAAUUUCCAGCACUGCUUCCUGAAUUAAGAAAUCACAUACUCAAGUCUUAAUCGUUGUCAUCAUACCGUGUGAGAACCGAGGAAGAAUCUUUGCUCUUAGACUGGAUUUUGUAGUCUUUCUUUAACAAUUACAAGUUAUCUGAAUUCCCUUCAUCCUCCUAUAUAAUAUUGUUUUUGGUCUUGUUCUUGUUGCAUUGUGGCUAGGCAUCUCCAUGGGAGGAAGGAGGAUGAAUCAAGUUCCUUUGUAUGAAUCAAUUUCUCUGCUCUUUUUUUUUUCAAUCCUUGAAUCGAAUCAUUGCUUAGUUCUUGCUUUAAUUUCUCCAUUUUCUGUUGGGUCUUUGAUUGCAGGUUUAGCUCUGCAAGAAAACUGGGAAAUUUAAUUGUGACCUCCAAUCUAAUCGACUCUGCUUUGACUAAAAUUCUUGAGCUUCAAAGAGACCAAACAGCCUUGCCUUCCCCCGUUCAAUACAGAGUUUUUUAUCCAUCUCCCAACUGCACAAUUGUAGCUUUUGUCUCUUCACCUGACUGCACUCAAAACCCUCUUCCUGGACAAGGAGAUUUAGUUCCCUCUCCUCUCUUUGACUUCCUCUGCACCGAAGAAUACAAGUCCGUCUCCAUUAACAGAGCUGCAUUAACCCUCUUUACCUCUCUCCACGAUCAUCUCUCUGGACUAAAAACUCAGGUCAAAAUAUGAUAGUUGUUUUUAUUUUCGUUUCCUUUUUGUUAACAAUUGGGAGACAUGAAACAGCUUGACCAUGAGAUCUCUCUCAUAGAGUCAAACUACCUGAAGAAGAAGAAGACGUUACACAUAUCCAUCUGCGCUGCAUCAUCGCAUUACCCAUUGAUCGGUUGUGAUUCAACUCUUAAUAGGAAGACAGUAGAACUGGUGUUGGUAUCUGUUUUUAGAUCAGCUUAUAUGUAUCUUGUUGCUAAAAAGGGAAUGUUUAGAAGUGAGAUUAAUGGGAUUAUUCUGACAUGGAUUUCAUAUGGUUACCUGUUUUGCAGUUGACUGUGAUUGAAGGUCGAUUAAUCAUUACUGGGUACUCGAUGGGAGGAUCCGUUGCUUCUCUCUUCACCUUAUGCCUGUUAGAAGUCAUCAAUUUAUCAAAACCCAAAUGCCGCCCCAUUUGUAUCACCUUUGGUUCACCCCUCAUAGGCGACUUUGGCCUCCAACACUCCAAUUGGAAUUCUUUCUUCUUGCAUGUAGUGUCCAACCAAGAUCUAGUCCCCGGACUCUUCCUCCCAUCCGACAGAUCUCCUCCCACAUCCUCCCAUUCACAAACUACUGGUUACAAGCCCUUUGGGACAUAUCUCUUGUGCUCUGAACUUGGUUGUGCUUGUUUUGACAACUCUGAUUUAAUUUUGGAAUUGCUGAAAGUCAUAUCAUCAGAGGUUGCCAGAGGAUUGCGGGAUGUUGAUUACAGGAAGAUUUUAAGAAACCUCAAGGAGAGGGCAAUCUGCAAGGGACUUCCGCAGGUGGGUGAAAGGUUUGCAAAUCCAUUUUCAGCUGGGAUCAUCAUGGAACUUGAGACGAUUGGAUUUAAUGAAACAAAGGUAAACAGCUUUCUCCCAUCUACUGAUGUUAUGGAACAUGGUUUACACAUCAUUAAAUACUGCAACAACUGCCCUAUUUAGAUUUAGGGCAAUGAUGAAAAUAUCAGUAAUCACGGAUAUAUCAGUAUUUCGAUUUUACGGAUAUAUCGGAUAUAUCGGAGAUAUAUCGGUAGAUAUUUUGAAAAAAAAUAUCGGCAAGCUUAAAAUUGUUAAAAACUCAUGAAAAUAUAAGAAAAUCUCAUAAUAAUAUAAUUAAAAGUAUAAUAGACAUUUUAAAGUUAUUUUAUUGAAAAUUUUGAUAUAUGUAUAACAUGAUUUAUCAUAUUUGAUAAUAAUAUCGUAUGCGUCGAUAAAAAUAUGAAUUUUAUAAGUGUACAUUUAUUAUUAAAUUACACCUAAUAUUAUGAUAUCUGAUUAUAAUAUGUCUAAUUUUAAAAUAUAUAUUAGUAUUAAAAUAUGAUCCAUUUAAUUCAAUUGUAUUAAACAAUAUAAAAUAAAUAAUGAUAUAUAUAUAUAUAUAUAUAAUUUUUUAAUAUUUAAUUAAUUAUUAAUGAUAUUAAAAACAUUAUGAAGAAAAUUAUAUAAUUUUUUAAUUUUUGGUAAUUAAUUAAAAGACUUUGCAUUUAAUUAUAAAUUAAUUAUAAUUAAUUUACUCUUUAAAAUAUUCUUAUAUUUUCUUUAUAUAAUGAAUUUAAGUAUAUAUAUAGUUGUUGCAUAUUAUAUAUUAAAGGACAACUUAGCCCAAGUGGUAAGCGAGUGAACCCCAAUGUGAGGCAUUGUAGCACGUGCACUGUAGCAUCACUGUAGCGACUCUGACUUUCGUUGACCCGCAUUGACUACACGAUAUAUCGGAGAAAAAUCACUGAUUUAUCGCCAAAUCACCAAUAAAUCGCCGAUUUCUCGCGAUAAAUACCAAAAUAUAGUGUCGAAACCCUUCGAUACACGAUUUUUCGGCGCAUUUUCUUACUUGGAUUUACCUUUUUGUUCUUUGGGAUCUUCCAUGACUCAUUUUUUAAUGCCAUUUUAUUUUCCUUUUUGUUUCUAAAUUUUUAAAAAAUCGUUUUCACUUCUUUUUUUUAAGAAAAUUUUGGCAAAUUUUGAAAAUAUAAUAUUAGUGUUUUCACUUCUUUCUUUUUUUUUUUUUUCUUUUUUUUUUUAAACUCAAUUUUCUAAAAAAUGAAAAUAGAAAAACAUUGUCUAAACAUGUUUGUAAACUUAAUUUUAUUUUUUUAUAAAUGAAAAAAAAAAUCUAAAUGAGUAAGGCUUUAUUAAUUUUAAUUUUUUUCUUUUCCUUAUAUUUUCUUAUUUUAUUCCAAAUUUUCUUGCAACCAAACAUAAUCUAAAUGUUUACAACUUUUAUUGUAAGGAAUGAAUGACACUACUUUGUGAACUUUUAUGAUAAUAUUUUGAAUCAUAAAUUGUGUUUUUUUUAGUAAUAUCAAUUUUAUUACCAAUGACUUAAUUGUUAAUAACAAAAUAUAAUAUUUAUAAAUAUUUUUAUUCUCAACAGGCUACAAUUUUUACUCUUGUGAUAAAAAAAAUUUUGUCAUAAAUUACACAUUAUGAUGAGUUUUUCUAUUUUCCUUAUCAGCCAAUUCAACAAAUAUCAUAUAUAUUGUAAUGGCUAACAAAUUUUCACAUAAAUUUUUUAUAAGAUAAAGUAGAAUGGAAUUAUUCAAUUUCAAAAAAAAAAAAAAUGGUACCUAAUGAAAAAGAUAAAAUAUAUAGAUCAUCUCGAAGAAAUCAGGAAAGAUAAAUGAUGAGACCAUAUAUAGGACCCUUGAUGGAGACUAUUUUAAUUGAAGUGGUGUGCUCCUUCCGACUCAGAACAUGUUCAGCAUUGCACACAAACUAACAUCGUCGAUCUUGAGUAUGAAAAAGGUGAUUAGAUUCCAAGGUUGUCGUUUGUCCCAACUCCUCAUAUUAGAGGUGAUGCUCAAGCUAACGUGCCUCGCAGUUGAGCCCCGGCCAAUCGGUCUAAUAUGCUUUUCCAAUGGUGAGUUUCACUGCCACCAUGUAUUACAUUAAUUCCGAUAGCGCACAAGUUGUGUUUGUGCUAUUGCUUUUUGCCCUCACAAACAUAUACACAAGAGACAUUCAGACCAGAUCUGUUCUACCAUCCUCUAGGAAAGCAUUGUAGGUCAUUUGAAAUUGGGAUUUCAGCACCAGAGUCAAAUUGCCUUCCUUCCUGAAAGAUGAGCAUUUUUUAUACUCUUACAUCGGCUUUUAUGGAAAUGAAAUCAGCUUCUCAUUCUGUUACAUUUUUCAAUUUUGCUGCCUAUAACUGCUCACUGCCUGUUUGUGAGACAUUAUCCAGAUUUUCCCUGAUCAAUUAUAGAGAGGUCAUUGGACUCAUCCAUGAUUGGAAUUUCCUGUUAUCAUUAUUUGCAAAUCAUCAACCAUUUGUCAUGAUAUCUUAAGUUAAGCUGAGCACGAAUUUCAGCUAAGAUCCUCAGAACUAGAAAUAUGCACUGCAGGUAUUACUUGAUAUGUGAAUAUCCAAUACAAUAUUUUUUUACUAAGAGGAAUACGAAUUUGAAACACUUUCCAAUAAUUUAUCAAGUCAUAUUUUCGUGCUGUCGUGAUACAUGUGUCUACUGUAUGCAUGGCUUUUCUUUUCUACACAUGCCUUUAUCUUUGCACAUGACUCUUUUGAUACACGCCAGCAUCAAGGCAAUUGCCUAAAUCUAAAUCACAUCCUUUGUGUCACGUCUUCCUUGUUACCACGGUCCUCUUGUACACCAUGGUCCCUUAAUGUAACUUGUGCCACAAGCCCUUUGUGCAUGAAUUCAAAUUGUUCAAUCAUUUCGCCAUUUACACCUUUUAAGGUCCAAUAAGCGUAUACAAGAGACUACACUCAUUCUAGAUGAUAAAGUACAUUCAACUAACUACUCUUGCUAAUGAGCAUAUCCAAGUCAAUACAUAAGAUUAAUUAUUACAUAUGGUAAUUGAAACCCUGUUUAAAUAAAUAGUGACACAAAUAUAAAAAAUAUAUAUAUUUAAAAAUAAAUAAAUAACAAUUUAGAGAAUUUCAUAACUUAGUAUCAAACCUAUUGUAGGAAAGAGUAUUAUACAAUGUAGGGUUUAGGAUCAAAGUUAACCUAAGAUCAAUUUUAAGUUUUAAGACCAAUUCAAAUUCAAAACUAAGGUUUUAAGUUUCAAAAAUAUAUCUCUUAAACCAAUUAAAUAGAAAAAAGAAAAUUACAAAGAAAAUUUCUUCCUCAUCGGUUUCUUUUAUCUUGAAAACUAAAGGAAAUAUAUAUCAAUAUUUGAGAUGGAAAUUCAUAAUCUUAGAAACACAAAGAACAAAGAGAGUAUGAAGAGACCAUACCAUGAGAGAUUUUCCAAAAGGUUGGUAAACCAUGGUAAUCACCUUUGAGUUUUGCUGAGAAAAACAAACCUUAAUUUUUAUUUUUAUUUUUUUAUCAUUUUUUCUCUUGUGGUGUACAUUUAAGAAAAACAAAUCUUAAAAAAAAAAAAAAAAAAACCAAAUAAUGCCAGAAUUUGGGUUGAGAAACACCCAAAAGAUAGUGGCCCAAUACAUGUGCCUAAGAAAAUCUUCAUGAGCCGAUAAACAUAGUCACAAAACUAGUAACAGCCUUGUAGCCAUAGUUGGUGUAGUAUGAGCAAGUGGGGUAUGAAGUAGGUAGGUGAGUAUUGCAAUGAAAUUUCCAGCACUGCUUCCUGAAUUAAGAAAUCACAUACCCAAGUCUUAGUCGUCGUCGUCGUACCGUGUGAGAACCGGGAAGAAUCUUUGCUCGUAGAGUGGCUUUUGUAGUCUUUCUUUAACAAUUACAAGUUAUCUGAAUUCCCUUCAUCCUCCUAUAUAAUAUUGUUUUUGGUCUUGUUCUUGUUGCAUUGUGGCUAGGCAUCUCCAUGGAAGGAAGGAGGAUGAAUCAAGUUCCUUUGUAUGAAUCAAUUUCUCUGCUCUUUUUCUUUUCAAUCCGUGAAUCGAAUCAUUGCUUAGUUCUUGCUUUAAUUUCUCCAUUUUCUGUUGGGUCUUUGACUGCAGGUUUAGCUCUGCAAGAGAACUGGGAAAUUUAAUGGUGACCUCCAAUCUAAUCGACUCUGCUUUGACUAAAAUUCUUGAGCUUCAAAGAGACCAAACAGCCUUGCUUUCCUCCGUUCAAUACAGAGUUUUUUAUCCAUCUCCCAAGUGCACAAUUGUAGCUUUUGUCUCUUCACCUGACUGCACUCAAAACCCUCUUCCUGGACAAGGAGAUUUAGUUCCGUCUCCUCUCUUUGACUUCCUCUGCACCGAAGAAUACAAGUCCGUCUCCAUUAACAGAGCUGCAUUAACCCUCUUUACCUCUUUCCACGAUCAUCUCUCUGGACUAAAAACUCAGGUCAAAAUAUGAUAGUUGUUUUUAUUUUCGUUUCCUUUUUGUUAACAAUUGUGAGACAUGAAACAGCUUGACCAUGAGAUCUCUCUCAUAGAGUCAAACUACCUGAAGAAGAAGAAGACGUUACACAUAUCCAUCUGCGUUGCAUCAUCGCAUUACCCAUUGAUCGGUUGUGAUUCAACUCUUAAUAGGAAGACAGUAGAACUGGUGUUGGUAUCUGUUUUUAGAUCAGCUUAUAUGUAUCUUGUUUCUAAAAAAGGUAAGUUUAGAAGUGAGAUUAAUGGGAUUAUUCUGACAUGGAUUCCAUAUGGUUACCUGUUUUGCAGUUGACUCAGAUUGAAGGUCAAUUAAUCAUCACUGGGCACUCCCUGGGAGGAUCCGUUGCUUCUCUCUUCACCUUAUGCCUGCUAGAUGGAAAUUUAUUAAAACCCAACUGCCGCCCCUUUUGUAUCACCUUUGGUUCACCCCUCAUCGGCGGCUUUGGCCUCCAACACUCCAUAUGGAAUUCUUUCUUCCUGCAUGUAGUGUCUAACCAAGACCCAGUCCCCGGUCUCUUCCUCCCAUCUGGCAGAGGCAGAUCUACGCCCACAUCCUCCCAUUCACAAAC